UCGACGCAGGGUCGUAGGUAGAGCAUACUAAGGCGUAGAGAUAAUACUUGUAAAGGAACUCGUCAAGUUGUGUUCAUAAGUUUGACGAGAUGAAGAACCAAUUAUAUAUUUUUUAUUUAGGUAAAUUUUAUAUAAAGGGUGGUACAGAAACGGAGGCCCCGACUGUUUACUUAAAUCACAGACAUCUUCAACGAUAAAUUUCUUUGUACAGGUGUUGAAUUUUGCCCGAUGCCAAUAAUAUAACGUUAAUACGCGCUAUGCGUUUUUAUUGUCUAAAAAUCUGGUCAAUGGCGGUAUUAUCCUGUGGAUCCUAACGUAGCAAAAUUAAGUGUCCAUUAAAUGUGGUCCCGACUGUAUAAAGUAACGAUGGUCUCACUGUCUCUACAAGUAUCUCAGUGAAAUUGAAUUAGCCGUAAGAUGCGGGCUGCUGCCCUUUCUUGCG
This 442-nucleotide ribosomal RNA is filed under the name uncultured Tulasnellaceae. RNAcentral's name for it is "LSU rRNA". It matches the Rfam family "Bacterial large subunit ribosomal RNA", at positions 1654 to 2082 of the family's 2925-position model. The record is from RNAcentral. Lineage: Eukaryota; Fungi; Basidiomycota; Agaricomycetes; Cantharellales; Tulasnellaceae.